GGCACAGGUUCCAAGAAAGGUCCAUUAGUAGGAUCAGCUGACCCUACUAAACUAUCUUACUUCGAAUUUGUGCCC
This is a non-coding RNA of Haemonchus placei, 75 nucleotides long. The record is from Rfam. NCBI's taxonomy places the organism in Eukaryota, Metazoa, Nematoda, Chromadorea, Rhabditida, Trichostrongylidae.